GAGCUUCAUGAAACAACUACAACAUCAAUUCAAAACCAAGUCAGACUCUCCUUCUGAUCCAGGAGUUGAGCUUUCAUUUCUGUUUCUUGGAUUUCUUCGGUGGGUUGACGAUGUUCUCAGCUUCGUCUGAAGAGCCAUCGAUCGGCUCGUCGGGAACUUCGGUGGGCUCGUUGUGCUUAGUGAUGAAGUCCUUCAGUAUGAUCAUGCUCUCCUCCUUCAGAGCAGUCAGCUGUUGAGAGAGACUCCCAGACCCCGAACUAACUGAAUAUACUUCAGAGCCGAGAUGUAGAGUGAUCUUGGCUCUGGGUUCCAAAUGCACAGCAGGAGCUUGAUCUUCCAUCGUCAAAAUACCGGAUUCGCG
This 361-nucleotide unclassified non-coding RNA is filed under the name Hevea brasiliensis (rubber tree). The record is from RNAcentral. Lineage: Eukaryota; Viridiplantae; Streptophyta; Magnoliopsida; Malpighiales; Euphorbiaceae.